GUGGCUUGGACGGUGUUAUGCUAUCACUACGCGGGUGUUCUGUACUGCGAGAAAAACAACCCACAACCAUGAUGGCCCGGGAGAUAAUGGACAACACAAAGCGGGCUGGCAAAUCUAUCAUGUUAACGAGGAGGGCAUAUCCACACCCCUAGUGCAACAAACACAAGAAGAAGAGCCAGGAGGGUGGUGUUUGUUCCCAGCGUCCCCGCAGCCACAUAGUGUGUUCAUCGACAAUAAUGUACCAGUGAUGGCAAAAGAGACGCCACGGGAAUUUGAAAUAAUGAAAGCCUGUCCGUCACUUACAGGUGAGAACUCAUAGCAUAUCACAUGGCACAUAAUAAAAAAAUGUAAAGCAUAAAAUGUUUUUGUUCAAUGUUUCAAGCUUAAAAAUGCAUUUUCAAAAAUCACAAAGCAUCCGUAGGAACCCCGCAUUCAAAACGCUUGCACAAAAAUGCUUGCAACAUCCGUUUGCAAAGUGAAAUGAUACAAGGAAUUAGGAAAUACAAACAGGAGCUGUAUAUUAUUGUGAAAACUGGCAAAAAUGCUUUCUCAGCGCUGCUGCUAAACAUCCCUAAACAACGUACGGGAGUUUUCCACAAAGCCAACCGUUAUAAUCUCCUGUGACAAGAUGAUGAUUACAUCUUUCACUGGC
Long non-coding RNA from Syngnathus typhle (broad-nosed pipefish), 652 nucleotides. RefSeq lists it as uncharacterized. The record is from RefSeq and is a predicted model, not a curated record. The transcript is spliced from 3 exons. NCBI's taxonomy places the organism in Eukaryota, Metazoa, Chordata, Actinopteri, Syngnathiformes, Syngnathidae.